GACGAACGCUGGCGGCGUGCUUAACACAUGCAAGUCGAACGGAAAGGCCCUGCUUUUGUGGGGUGCUCGAGUGGCGAACGGGUGAGUAACACGUGAGUAACCUGCCCUUGACUUUGGGAUAACUUCUGGAAACUGGGGCUAAUACCGGAUAGGAGCUCCUGCUGCAUGGUGGGGGUUGGAAAGUUUCGGCGGUUGGGGAUGGACUCGCGGCUUAUCAGCUUGUUUGUGGGGUAGUGGCUUACCAAGGCUUUGACGGGUAGCCGGCCUGAGAGGGUGACCGGCCACAUUGGGACUGAGAUACGGCCCAGACUCCUACGGGAGGCAGCAGUGGGGAAUAUUGCACAAUGGGCGGAAGCCUGAUGCAGCAACGCCGCGUGCGGGAUGACGGCCUUCGGGUUGUAAACCGCUUUCGCCGGUGACGAAGCGUGAGUGACGGUAAUGGGUAAAGAAGCACCGGCUAACUACGUG
Molecule: ribosomal RNA, 468 nt
Filed under: uncultured bacterium
Lineage: Bacteria
Description: partial 16S ribosomal RNA
Rfam family: Bacterial small subunit ribosomal RNA
Source: RNAcentral